RNAcentral lists this ribosomal RNA (415 nucleotides) under uncultured bacterium. RNAcentral describes it as "bacterial SSU rRNA". It matches the Rfam family "Bacterial small subunit ribosomal RNA", at positions 64 to 507 of the family's 1533-position model. The record is from RNAcentral.
GAACGCUUACGAGGGUUUCGGCCCUUGUGGGAGUGGCGCACGGGUGAGUAGCGCGUGGGAACCUGCCCCUUUGUGGGGGAUAACCGAGGGAAACUUCGGCUAAUACCGCAUGCGCCCGGAGUGAUCCGGGGAAAGAUUUAUCGCAGAGGGAGGGGCCCGCGUCGGAUUAGCUGGUUGGUGGGGUAACGGCCUACCAAGGCGAUGAUCCGUAGCUGGUCUGAGAGGAUGAUCAGCCACACUGGGACUGAGACACGGCCCAGACUCCUACGGGAGGCAGCAGUGGGGAAUAUUGGACAAUGGGCGCAAGCCUGAUCCAGCAAUGCCGCGUGAGUGAUGAAGGCCUUAGGGUUGUAAAGCUCUUUCGGCGGGGACGAUGAUGACGGUACCCGCAGAAGAAGCCCCGGCUAACUUCGUG